RNAcentral lists this ribosomal RNA (333 nucleotides) under Triticum aestivum (bread wheat). Its description in RNAcentral is "partial small subunit ribosomal RNA". Lineage: Eukaryota; Viridiplantae; Streptophyta; Magnoliopsida; Poales; Poaceae. The record is from RNAcentral.
AUGGUGGUGCACGUGGUGCUGCUCGCCGCGCCGGCCGUCGGCGGGUUCCUCCUGCACGCGUUCAAGUUCUCCAUCCUGCUCUGGCCGUUCAACCUCACGCUGCCGCUGCUGCGCGACCUGCCGCGCGUCUGCGCCACGCUCCGGGGCGCCGCGUCGCUCUACGCCGCCGAGCUGCGGGCGUCCCUCGGCGGCCGCCGGCGGAGGGCGCCGAGGGCGCCGGUGCCGCAGCUGGACCACCAGUACUCUGCCCUCCGCCCCGUGCAGAGACGGCCACGGCCGGCGGGACAGCUCGUCGCGCAGGCCAUGCUGGCCCUCGUCGACGUCUCCUACUGA